RNAcentral lists this ribosomal RNA (477 nucleotides) under uncultured bacterium. RNAcentral's name for it is "partial 16S ribosomal RNA". It matches the Rfam family "Bacterial small subunit ribosomal RNA", at positions 28 to 507 of the family's 1533-position model. The record is from RNAcentral.
GAUGAACGCUGGCGGCGUGCCUAAUACAUGCAAGUCGAGCGAACGGACGAGAAGCUUGCUUCUCUGAUGUUAGCGGCGGACGGGUGAGUAACACGUGGAUAACCUACCUAUAAGACUGGGAUAACUACGGGAAACCGUAGCUAAUACCGGAUAAUAUUUUGCACCGCAUGGUUCAUAAGUGAAAGACGGUCUUGUCGUCGCUUAUGGAUGGAUCCGCGCUGCAUUAGCUUGUUGGUAGGGUAGCGGCUUUCCAAGGCUACGACGGGUAGCAGGACUGCGAGGGUGACCGGCCAGAUGGGGACGCAGAUAGGGCCCAGGAUCCGACGGGAGGGAGUAGUUGGGAAUAUUGCACCAUGGGCGGAAGCCUGAUGCAGAAACGCAGCGUGCGGGAUGAAGGCCUUCGGGUUGUAAACCGCUUUCGCCUGUGACGAAGCGUGAGUGACGGUAAUGGGUAAAGAAGCACCGGCUAACUACGUG